Long non-coding RNA from Oncorhynchus keta (chum salmon), 761 nucleotides. RefSeq lists it as uncharacterized. The record is from RefSeq and is a predicted model, not a curated record. The transcript has 3 exons. NCBI's taxonomy places the organism in Eukaryota, Metazoa, Chordata, Actinopteri, Salmoniformes, Salmonidae.
UUCUGAGUUGGCAUGACGAUCUGACACCCUGCCGUCCAGAGCCUUCUGUCCGUUUCCACGGUGACCUGAUCCCAUUCCGCUAUUCUGUUCUCCGAGUUCCGGACCUGUGGAGCACAGAGUGGAUAACCGCUGUAUACACACGGAGUGAGUUCAGAGAGAGGAGAGAUCUGGGAACGCAGUGAGGAUGCCAGUGCAGCAGAUCUCCGUGGUCCCCGCUCGGGAGAUGGCCAAUAACGGCCGGAGCGCCCCUCGCUCCAAAGACAAGACCGAGAGUAUUAAAGGUCCAGGUCGGUCAGGCAGUCGAUCCAGCAACAUCUUGAAGGCCAGCAGUUCUACAACAGGAUUGGCUCCUGGCAGUGUUUCCAGGACAACUCCCUCCUCUCAGGACAUCUGCAGGUGAGACUGUUACCCAGCGGUGCCUUCAGUUGGCUUGAACGUUUGCUAAAAGUUGCGGAACGGUUUGUACUGAAGGACACGUUUCCCCAAAACGUUUUAGAGCUCAUAAAGAACCAGACAUACACAACAUAUCUUCUGUGUCUUUACUAAGGAGCGUAGUUACAGUCACAUGUUAAGGUUAGAUUUUGGCUGUAUGGAGCAAAUAUUUCAAGAGUCUGAAUAAGUUUACAGUUUAGAUUAAGAGUCUGAAUAAGUUUACAGUUUAGAUUAAGAGUCUGAAUAAGUUUACAGUUUAGAUUAGGAGUCUGAAUAAGUUUACAGUUUAGAUUAAGAGUCUGAAUAAGUUUACAGUUUAGAUUAAGAGU